AGAACGAACGCUGGCGGCAUGCCUAACACAUGCAAGUCGAACGAGACCUUCGGGUCUAGUGGCGCACGGGUGCGUAACGCGUGGGAAUCUGCCCUUGGGUUCGGGAUAACAGUUGGAAACGACUGCUAAUACCGGAUGAUGACUUCGGUCCAAAGAUUUAUCGCCCAGGGAUGGGCCCGCGUAGGAUUAGCUUGUUGGUGAGGUAAAGGCUCACCAAGGCGACGAUCCUUAGCUGGUCUGAGAGGAUGAUCAGCCACACUGGGACUGAGACACGGCCCAGACUCUACGGAGGCAGCAGUAGGGAAUAUUGGACAAUGGG
RNAcentral lists this ribosomal RNA (319 nucleotides) under uncultured soil bacterium. RNAcentral describes it as "bacterial SSU rRNA". It matches the Rfam family "Bacterial small subunit ribosomal RNA", at positions 26 to 375 of the family's 1533-position model. The record is from RNAcentral.